GAUUAAAGGAAUACCGAAUGGUUUUCCAUGCAGGAUUGCGUGAUCCAUGCACAUGAGAUGUCGCAAGUCUUUCAGAAAGUGUACAAAUACUCGAGCAGGCGAGUGUAUUUUUAUACUUGCCGAAAGUCGAUCAACAUCCCAAAUGCAUGGAUCACACUAUCCUGCUUGGGAAACCAUUUGGUAAUUGUUUUAUG
Molecule: non-coding RNA, 194 nt
Organism: Paramuricea clavata
Lineage: Eukaryota; Metazoa; Cnidaria; Anthozoa; Malacalcyonacea; Plexauridae
Source: the annotation of a GenBank genome assembly